AACGAACGCUGGCGGCGUGGAUAAGACAUGCAAGUCGAACGGGACAACAUUUGUAGUAAUACAGAUGUUGUUCAGUGGCGAACGGGUGCGUAACACGUGGGCAAUCUGCCGAGAAGUGGGGGAUAGCUCGCCGAAAGGCGAAUUAAUACCGCAUGUGGUGAGGGAAGACAUCUUCCUGAAUCCAAAGCCGGGGUAACCUGGCGCUUUUUGAGGAGCCCGCGGCCUAUCAGCUGUUGGUGAGGUAACGGCUCACCAAGGCUUUGACGGGUAGCUGGUCUGAGAGGACGACCAGUCACACUGGAACUGAGACACGGUCCAGACACCUACGGGUGGCAGCAGUCGAGAAUUUUUCUCAAU
This 357-nucleotide ribosomal RNA is filed under the name uncultured bacterium. Its description in RNAcentral is "bacterial SSU rRNA". It matches the Rfam family "Bacterial small subunit ribosomal RNA", at positions 29 to 372 of the family's 1533-position model. The record is from RNAcentral.